Molecule: ribosomal RNA, 1691 nt
Filed under: Phoxinus phoxinus (Eurasian minnow)
Lineage: Eukaryota; Metazoa; Chordata; Actinopteri; Cypriniformes; Leuciscidae
Description: 16S ribosomal RNA
Rfam family: Bacterial large subunit ribosomal RNA
Source: RNAcentral
GCCAACCAGCUAGCUUAAUUACUUAUAUAAUUUAACAAUGUUCUUAACAAAACAUAACCCAACAAUACAAACUAAACCAUUUUUUUACCUGAGUAUGGGAGACAGAAAAGGUUCAACACAAAGCAAUAGAAAAAGUACCGCAAGGGAAAGCUGAAAAAGAGAUGAAACAGCCCAUAUAAGCGCCGAAAAACAAAGACUAGACCUUGUACCUUUUGCAUCAUGAUUUAGCCAGCACCCUCAAGCGAAGAGCCCUUUAGUUUGAAACCCCGAAACCAGGUGAGCUACCCCGAGACAGCCUAUGUUAAUUUAGGGCUAACCCGUCUCUGUGGCAAAAGAGUGGGAAGAGCUCCGGGUAGAAGUGAAAAGCCUACCGAACCUGGUGAUAGCUGGUUACCUAGGAAGUGGAUAGAAGUUCAGCCUCACACACCCCAAAUCAAAGAAAAUAUUAUUAAGAUAUUAGGGAAAUAUGUGAGAGUUAGUUGAAGGGGGUACAGCCCCUUUAAUAAAGGAUACAACCUUAACAGGAGGAUAAAGAUCAUAAUAUAUAAGAUAUGCUGUUCUAGUGGGCUUGAAAGCAGCCACCUAAGCAGAAAGCGUUAAAGCUCGGACAGAAAGAAAUUUAUUAUACUGAUAAAAAAUCUUAAUCCCCUAAUUAUACUAGGCCAACCCAUGCCUACAUGGAAGAGAUUAUGCUAGAAUGAGUAACAGGAGGAUAUGAUCCUCUCCCGGCACAAGUGUAAACCAGAUUGGACAAACCACUGGAAAUUAACGAGCCCAACCCAAGAGGGCAGUGUGAAUAACAGAAAAUUCAAGAAGACCUCACACUAAUAUAUCGUUAACCCCACACUGGCGUGCCAUAUUUAAAGGAAAGACUAAAAGAGGGGAAAGGAACUCGGCAAACACAAGCCUCGCCUGUUUACCAAAAACAUCGCCUCCUGCAACUAGAUUGAGUAUAGGAGGUCCAGCCUGCCCAGUGACUAUGGGUUCAACGGCCGCGGUAUUUUGACCGUGCAAAGGUAGCGCAAUCACUUGUCUCUUAAAUAGAGACCUGUAUGAAUGGCUAGACGAGGGCUUAACUGUCUCCCCCCUCCGGUCAGUGAAAUUGAUCUAUCCGUGCAGAAGCGGGUAUAAAUACACAAGACGAGAAGACCCUUUGGAGCUUAAGGUACAAACUUAACCACGUUAAGCGACUUCACAAAGAGCAAGAACUUAGUGGCGAUAAGACUUUACCUUCGGUUGGGGCGACCAUGGAGGAGAAGCAAGCCUCCAAGUGGGCCGGGCCAAACCCCUAUCCCUAAAGCCAAGAGACACAUCUCUAGGCCGCAGAACAUCUGACCAAAAAUGAUCCGACUAUAAAGUCGACCAACGGACCAAGUUACCCAAGGGAUAACAGCGCAAUCCCCUCCCAGAGUCCAUAUCUACGAGGGGGUUUACGACCUCGAUGUUGGAUCAGGACAUCCUAAUGGUGCAGCCGCUAUUAAGGGUUCGUUUGUUCAACGAUUAAAGUCCUACGUGAUCUGAGUUCAGACCGGAGCAAUCCAGGUCAGUUUCUAUCUGUGACGCUACUUUUCCUAGUACGAAAGGAUCGGAAAAGGGGGGCCUAUGCUUUAAGCACGCCCCACCCCUAAUUAAUGAAAACAAAUAAAUUAAAUAAAGGGAGGGCUAAAGCCCUAUCACCCAAAAUAAGGGUU